Molecule: ribosomal RNA, 745 nt
Filed under: Funneliformis caledonium
Lineage: Eukaryota; Fungi; Glomeromycota; Glomeromycetes; Glomerales; Glomeraceae
Description: SSU rRNA
Rfam family: Eukaryotic small subunit ribosomal RNA
Source: RNAcentral
UAACUUUUCGGAUGUAGGAUAGAGGCCUACCAUGGUGGUAACGGGUAACGGGGUGUUAGGGCACGACACCGGAGAGGGAGCCUGAGAAACGGCUACCACAUCCAAGGAAGGCAGCAGGCGCGCAAAUUACCCAAUCCCGACACGGGGAGGUAGUGACAAUAAAUAACAAUACAGGGUUCUUUUGGAUCUUGUAAUUGGAAUGAGUACAAUUUAAAUCUCUUAACGAGGAACAAUUGGAGGGCAAGUCUGGUGCCAGCAGCCGCGGUAAUUCCAGCUCCAAUAGCGUAUAUUAAAGUUGUUGCAGUUAAAAAGCUCGUAGUUGAAUUUCGGGAUCAAUGUUUCGGUCAUGCCGUUGGUAUGUACUGAUAUUAUUGGUUUCUCACCUUCUAAAGAACCGUAAUGCCAUUAAUUUGGUGUCACGGGGAAUUAGGACUGUUACCUUGAAAAAAUUAGAGUGUUUAAAGCAGGCUCACGCUUGAAUACAUUAGCAUGGAAUAAUGAAAUAGGACAUCCGAUUCUAUUUUGUUGGUUUCUAGGAUCGAUGUAAUGAUUAAUAGGGAUAGUUGGGGGCAUUAGUAUUCAAUUGUCAGAGGUGAAAUUCUUGGAUUUAUUGAAGACUAACUACUGCGAAAGCAUUUGCCAAGGAUGUUUUCAUUAAUCAAGAACGAAAGUUAGGGGAUCGAAGACGAUCAGAUACCGUCGUAGUCUUAACCAUAAACUAUGCCGACUAGGGAUCGGAUGAUGU